CAAUGGGUUGAUCAACAUCAACAGGAGAAGCAAAAUCCUUCUUAUGACUGCCAGGAGGAGGCAUAAGAUCAUAGUCUCUGUCACGUUCUCGGUCCCAAUCCCAGUCUCUGUACUCAAACUUCUUUGAUUGAGGUGUUACAUACGGUGCUUUGCGCUUCUCAGUCUUAAGGACCAAAGGUAAUGGAGGAAGGAUAGGAGGUUCAUCUGCAGGAAGCUUUCCCUCUUGCUUAAGAUCUUCAGCGAAGUUGGCAAGAUCUUCAUCUAAGCGCUUGAUGUGGCUAUCUAUAAUAUCAUGAGCUUGUCGAGCAAGUAAAACCUUUUCAGUGCAAAGGCUUAAGGCAUUGUCCUGGUUUCCUUCAAUCUCCUUCCUCAACUUCUCAAAAGCCUCAUCAUCAUCAUAAUUGUAUUUCCUUGAUCCCUGGCUCUGAGACGCUAACCCUAGGCAGUAAUUGGUCUGCUGCCUAGUCUGAUUUAUUAUUCCUUGUGAACGCUCAUCGAGCUCUCUUAUGGUGUUAAGAAGCCUCUGAAGCUCAGCAGGCAAAGUGCUCGAAUAUUCCAAGUAAUCAUCGACGAAGACUCCGGUUCUGGCGAUCGCCAUUGUUGUCGGAAAUUGAAUUUCGAUCUAGG
This 627-nucleotide unclassified non-coding RNA is filed under the name Hevea brasiliensis (rubber tree). The record is from RNAcentral. Lineage: Eukaryota; Viridiplantae; Streptophyta; Magnoliopsida; Malpighiales; Euphorbiaceae.